This 466-nucleotide ribosomal RNA is filed under the name uncultured bacterium. RNAcentral's name for it is "partial 16S ribosomal RNA". It matches the Rfam family "Bacterial small subunit ribosomal RNA", at positions 28 to 507 of the family's 1533-position model. The record is from RNAcentral.
GAUGAACGCUGGCGGCGUGCUUAACACAUGCAAGUCGAGCGGUGAAAGGGAGCUUGCUCUCUGGAUCAGCGGCGAACGGGUGAGUAACACGUGAGCAAUCUGCCCCUGACUCUGGGAUAAGCGCUGGAAACGGCGUCUAAUACCGGAUACGAGCUGCGAAGGCAUCUUCAGCAGCUGGAAAGAACUUCGGUCAGGGAUGAGCUCGCGGCCUAUCAGCUAGUUGGUGAGGUAACGGCUCACCGAGGCGUCGACGGGUAGCCGGCCUGAGAGGGUGACCGGCCACACUGGGACUGAGACACGGCCCAGACUCCUACGGGAGGCAGCAGUGGGGAAUAUUGCACAAUGGGCGAAAGCCUGAUGCAGCAACGCCGCGUGAGGGACGACGGCCUUCGGGUUGUAAACCUCUUUUAGCAGGGAAGAAGCGAAAGUGACGGUACCUGCAGAAAAAGCGCCGGCUAACUACGUG